This 4069-nucleotide unclassified non-coding RNA is filed under the name Hevea brasiliensis (rubber tree). Lineage: Eukaryota; Viridiplantae; Streptophyta; Magnoliopsida; Malpighiales; Euphorbiaceae. The record is from RNAcentral.
AGAGAGAGAGAGAGAGAGAGGUUAUCUCUGCUGUGUAUGCAAAUAACAUAUUUGUUUCUUUCAUAAGCCAAUAAGCAAUUACUUUUAGAACUCUACAUAUGGAAUGCAUGAGAGAUGAGACUUCAGGUGAGCAACUUUGUUUGGUAAACUUUUUAGGAAUAAGCAAUUCUUGAACGAUAAUAUCUGCAAUAAGGUUGGUGGACAAUCUGUGUGGGUUGUGUCCCUAAUGACGUCCCUUAUUUUAGAGGCUCACAUGUGAAUCAUUAUUUAUCAAUCAAUUUUUUUUUCCUUAAUUGUUGAUAAAAGAAUUGAAAGAGGGGUAGAUAGAGCUUGGCUAGUCAAUGGGCCGGGUAUGCCUUGUAAGACUUUUCGUUAGAUUUAAAUGUUUUUCACAAGAUCAAUUCGUUUUAGAUAUUAUAGGAAGUAAGACCCCGUGGCUUGUCACUGCUUACCAUGUGAUUUUGAUAACUUUAUUCUUUUGUUUGGGAAAUUUUGCUCUUUUCCUUCCUCAGGUUUUUUGUUACUUGGGUGAUCUAAAUGAUUCCUUAUCAUACGCCCUCGGAGCUGAUUCUCUUUUCGAUGUCUCAGAGGAUUCUGAUUACGUUCAUACCCUUCUUGCUAAGGCAAUAGAUGAGUAUGCUAGUCUAAAGUCAAAGGCAAUUGAAUCAAAUGCUGAGGAAGCAAAUGUGGACCCUAGGCUGGAGGCAAUUGUGGAGAGAAUGCUGGACAAGUGUAUUAUGGAUGGAAAAUACCAACAAGCCAUGGGAAUUGCAAUUGAAUGUAGAAGACUGGACAAACUUGAGGAAGCAAUAACAAGGAGUGAUAACAUUCAUGGAACUCUUUCAUAUUGCAUCAAUGUUUCACAUGCUUUUGUUAGUCGUAGAGAAUAUCGGUGCGAGGUGCUCCAUCUUCUUGUUAAUGUUUAUCAGAAGCUGCCUUCUCCUGAUUAUUUGAGCAUUUGUCAAUGUCUCAUGUUCUUGGAUGAACCUGAAGGUGUAGCAAGCAUACUGGAAAAGCUUUUGCGUUCUGGAAAUAAGGAUGACGCUUUGCUUGCAUUUCAAAUAGCCUUUGAUCUUGUGGAGAAUGAGCACCAAGCUUUUCUAUUAAAUGUUAGAGAUCGCCUUUCAGUUCCAAAGUCUCAAUCUUCAGAGUCAGUGCAGCCAAAACCUAGUGAUCCAGAGCCGACACAAAAUGAAAAUUCUACUGCUUCAGAGGAUGUUCCAAUGACAGAAGGAUCUUCAGUUUCAACUGCUAUUGUGCAGGAAACUGAUCCAAAUGAAGCAAUAUAUGCUGAGAGGCUGACAAAAAUCAGGGGAAUUUUGUCUGGGGAGACAUCAAUUCAGUUGACUCUACAAUUUCUAUACAGUCAUAACAAAUCAGAUCUUCUUAUUCUGAAGACAAUCAAGCAGUCUGUUGAGAUGAGGAAUAGUGUUUGUCACAGUGCAACUAUCUAUGCUAAUGCAAUUAUGCAUGCUGGUACAACUGUGGAUACAUUCCUCAGGGAGAAUUUGGAUUGGUUGAGCAGGGCCACAAAUUGGGCCAAAUUUAGUGCCACGGCAGGUCUUGGUGUUAUCCACAGAGGUCACCUGCAGCAGGGCAGGUCGCUAAUGAGACCUUAUUUGCCCCAGGGCGGAUCUGGUGGUGGAGGUAGUCCAUACUCAGAAGGUGGUGCUCUUUAUGCUUUGGGUCUUAUACAUGCGAACCAUGGCGAGGGCAUCAAACAAUUCCUUCGUGACAGCCUACGUAGCACAAAUGUAGAGGUCAUUCAACAUGGUGCAUGCUUAGGUCUGGGUUUGGCAGCUUUAGGAACUGCUGAUGAAGAUAUAUAUGAUGAUAUCAAAAGCGCUUUGUAUACUGAUAGUGCUGUUGCUGGUGAGGCUGCUGGUAUUAGUAUGGGUUUGCUUAUGGUUGGAUCUGCAAGUGAGAAAGCAAGUGAGAUGCUUACUUAUGCUCAUGAGACACAGCAUGAGAAGAUCAUUAGAGGAUUGGCAUUAGGGAUAGCCCUCACUGUUUAUGGAAGAGAAGAAGAAGCAGACACGCUAAUUGAACAAAUGACUCGUGAUCAGGAUCCAAUACUUCGUUAUGGAGGUAUGUAUGCAUUGGCAUUGGCCUACAGGGGAACAGCAAACAACAAGGCCAUCCGCCAACUGUUGCACUUUGCCGUAUCAGAUGUGAGUGAUGAUGUAAGGAGGACUGCAGUUCUUGCACUUGGAUUUGUCCUGUACUCUGAACCAGAGCAGACUCCUCGAAUUGUCUCCUUGCUGUCGGAGUCGUACAACCCACAUGUGCGAUAUGGUGCAGCUCUUGCGGUAGGCAUUUCCUGUGCAGGCACUGGCUUGAGUGAGGCUAUAUCAUUGCUGGAACCUUUGACAUCAGAUGUUGUUGAUUUUGUUCGUCAAGGUGCUCUUAUUGCAAUGGCUAUGGUCAUGGUGCAGAUGAAUGAGGCCAGUGAUUCUCGUGUUGGAAUAUUCAGACGUCAAUUGGAAAAGAUAAUUCUUGAUAAGCAUGAAGACACCAUGAGCAAGAUGGGUGCAAUCCUUGCUUCUGGAAUACUUGAUGCUGGUGGAAGGAAUGUAACAAUAAGAUUGCUUUCUAAGACAAAACAUGAUAAAGUCACUGCAGUAGUUGGCCUAGCUGUUUUUAGCCAGUUUUGGUAUUGGUAUCCUCUCAUUUAUUUCAUAAGCUUGUCAUUCUCACCCACAGCCUUUAUUGGGCUGAACUAUGACUUGAAAGUUCCAAAAUUUGAGUUCAUAUCAAAUGCAAAGCCUUCUUUAUUUGAGUAUCCGAAGCCAACCACUGUGCCCACUACCACAUCUGCUGUGAAACUUCCCACUGCAGUUCUGUCAACUUCAGCGAAGGCCAAAGCUAGGGCCAAGAAAGAAGCAGAGCAGAAAGCUAAUGCUGAAAAGGCAGCAGCAGCAGCAGAGUCUUCAUCUGCUGCAGCAAAUACCGGAAAAGAUAAAUCAUCGAAUGAGAAGGAUGGGGAUUCCAUGCAGGUUAACAUUGCUUAUAUUUUUUUUAGACAGAGUUCAUGGAAGCAAUUUUAUAUUUUCCUAUUUAACUUUUAGAUUACUGUUUCAUUGUUACUUUUGGGGACUAUCAUGUUAGCAGGUUGUUAUUUUAUCUUGAUGCAUUCUGUGGCUCUCAAGAUCUAUAAUUCACAUUUUGAAAUUGACUGAAUGAUCAGAUAUGUUACGUUGCAUUGUUUCUUUUGUUAGGUUGAUAGCCAGCCGGAGAAGAAAGCAGAGCCUGAACCUUCUUUUGAAAUUUUGACCAACCCAGCAAGAGUUGUUCCUGCUCAGGAGAAGUUCAUUAAAUUUAUGGAAGAUAGCAGAUAUGCACCAGUGAAGUUAGCGCCUUCAGGGUUUGUCCUCCUGAGAGACCUGCAACCAACUGAACCAGAGGUACUUUCUCUCACGGAUGCACUGUCAUCCACAGUGUCACCUGCUGGUGGUUCAGCUGCGGGACAGCAAGGUUCUGCAUCAGCCAUGGCUGUUGAUGAGGAGCCCCAGCCACCUCAGCCUUUUGAGUAUACUUCGUGAUUCUGGUCAUAAAGAUUUUUGUAUUGGUCUUCGUUUAGAAAUCUGGUGCUUAUAACUGGCAGAGAAAAUCAAAUGCUUCUCAGCGACCGCUUCAAUCUUGCAUGGUCACUGCCAGCAUAAGCAAGUUUACUGGUUUCAAGGUUUUCUUAUCUGCAGAGCUUAUGUUCUCGAGCAAAUUUUUUUAGGUACCUAAGUGAUACAUGAUUGCUGUUUCAUCGACACAUAGUAGCACUUUCCGUAAUGUUCUGGAAAUGAAAAUUUCAGUCCAUUUUGUAGUCAUUUUGCAUUUCAAUUUACUUGCUGUGUUCUUUUGAUUGUUUCAUUGAUGUGCUGAUUUUUUUCCUCAGUUGUUUUCCCUUGCUAUCAAGUUUCCACUUCGAUGCUGUUCUUCGGGUUGUCUUACUUUUACCCGAUUUUAUUUUGUUGCGUUUCAUUUGGUUUAUUAUGUUUAUAAGCAAAAGAUAUUUUCUAGAGCCUUCACAUGUGUUCCUUUAACACAUAGUUAUCAAAGGCGCCUAGGCUCAAGG